UUCCCCACCUUACCUCAUGCCUGGCUGGGCAGUGCUCCGUUCUCCACGCUGUCACAGUCGCCUUGCCCUGCCUUGCCUCUCUGCCUACUCUGCGUUCCCCGCUGGGAGGAGGGUCUGGUGAUAAAAUAGCGGCGAGACUGUGGAAAUGAUGUUACACAAAAAGCAAAUUCGAGCAAUUUUCUUAUUCGAGUUCAAAAUGGGUUGUAAAGCCGUGGAGACAACUCACAGCAUCAACAACACAUUUGGCCCAGGAACUGCUAACGAACACACAGUAGUGCAGUGGUGGUUCAAGAAGUUUCGCAAAGGAGAGGAGAGCCUUGAAGAUAAGUAGCAUAGUGGCUGGCCAUCAGAAGUUGACAAUAACCGAUUGAGAGCAAUCAUUGAAGCUGAUCCUCUUAUAACUACACAAGAAGUUGCCGAAGAACUCAACAUUGACCAUUCUACACUCGUUCAGCAUAUGAAGCAAAUUGGAAAGGUGAAAAAGCUUGGUAAGUGGGUGCCUCGUGAACUAAGCAAAAAUCAAAAAAAUCGUGGUUUUGAAGAGUCAUCUUCUUUUAUUCUGCACAACAACAGUGAACCAUUUCUCGAUCGGAUUGUCAUGUGCCACUAAAAGUGGAUUUUAUACGACAGCCAGUGACAACCAGCUCAGUGGUUGGACCAGAAAGCUCCAAAGCAUUUCCCAAAGCCAGACUUGCACCAGAAAAAGGUCAUGGCCACUGUUUGGUGGUCUGCUGCUGGUCUGAUCCACUACAGCUUUCUGAAUCCUGGUGAAACCCUUACAUCUGAGAAGUAUGCUCAGCAAAUCAAUGAGAUGCAUCAAAGACUGCAAUGCCUGCAGCUGGCAUUGGUCAACAGAAAGAGCCCAAUUCUCCACAACAGUGCCCAACCACACACUGCACAACCAGCACUUGGGAAGUUGAAUGAAUUGGGCUACAAAGUUUUGCCUUAUCCUCCAUAUUCACCUGACUUCUCUCCAAACGACUACCACUUCUUCAAGCAUCUUGACAACUUUUUGUAGGAAAAACGCUUCCACAAUCAGCAGGAUGCAGAACAUGCUUUCCAAGAGUUGGUUGAAUCCCGAAGCAUGGAUUUUUAUGCUACAGGAAUAAACAAACAUAUUUCUCAUUGGCAAAAA
Long non-coding RNA from Piliocolobus tephrosceles (Ugandan red Colobus), 1135 nucleotides. RefSeq lists it as uncharacterized. Lineage: Eukaryota; Metazoa; Chordata; Mammalia; Primates; Cercopithecidae. The transcript has 2 exons. The record is from RefSeq and is a predicted model, not a curated record.